CUUUGCUUCAAUAAAAAAAUGAUUAACAGUGAAUAGAAAGUCACAUAGAGGAGGAAAAAAGAAUGCACAUUUAGAAACUCCAGAAUAAGCAACUUCUCGUUUGGAGUUCAAAAGAUUGACUAUAGAACUGAUUUAUGAGGUGAACUCUUCCAUGAAAAGUUCAGUUUUGAUCAUGUCUUAUCAAUCAUCUAUGUGAAUUAUAUGACUAACGAAGAACCUAUGCAAGGUAACUAAUAACAUCUGUAUAUUUCAAAAC
RNAcentral lists this unclassified non-coding RNA (256 nucleotides) under Hevea brasiliensis (rubber tree). The record is from RNAcentral. Lineage: Eukaryota; Viridiplantae; Streptophyta; Magnoliopsida; Malpighiales; Euphorbiaceae.